GAUGAACGCUGGCGGCGUGCUUAACACAUGCAAGUCGAACGGAAAGGCCCAAGCUUGCUUGGGUACUCGAGUGGCGAACGGGUGAGUAACACGUGGGUGAUCUGCCCUGCACUUCGGGAUAAGCCUGGGAAACUGGGUCUAAUACCGGAUAGGACGAUGGUUUGGAUGCCAUUGUGGAAAGUUUUUUCGGUGUGGGAUGAGCUCGCGGCCUAUCAGCUUGUUGGUGGGGUAAUGGCCUACCGAGGCGUCGACGGGUAGCCGGCCUGAGAGGGUGUACGGCCACAUUGGGACUGAGAUACGGCCCAGACUCCUACGGGAGGCAGCAGUGGGGAAUAUUGCACAAUGGGCGCAAGCCUGAUGCAGCGACGCCGCGUGGGGGAUGACGGCCUUCGGGUUGUAAACUCCUUUCGCUAGGGACGAAGCGUUUUUGUGACGGUACCUGGAGAAGAAGCACCGGCUAACUACGUG
RNAcentral lists this ribosomal RNA (468 nucleotides) under uncultured bacterium. RNAcentral's name for it is "partial 16S ribosomal RNA". It matches the Rfam family "Bacterial small subunit ribosomal RNA", at positions 28 to 507 of the family's 1533-position model. The record is from RNAcentral.